GUUCAAUCUGGGACCCGUAGCGCUACCGGGCCACACCUGAGUCACCUGCACCCUGGCUAGGAAGGAGGUAGAGAAAUGGAUCACUGGAAUCAAGAGUCAGAGCUGCAAUUCAUAAGGUGCAGGAACUGGGGUAGCUAAGCACAGCAAUGUGGUCUCCUAUCCUCUCAGUGUCAAUGACAAAAGUCGGUGCCCAACAGUGCCCUGCCAUGACUGCCACUGCCACCACUUGGACCCCAGAGAACAGAGAUGGUGUUAGAUGCUCGCAGCUGGGGAAGAGGCAUGAAAUAUCUGUGAUAAUCUCCACGUAACUUUCCUGAGGAAAACACCAGACAGAACCAGCUUGCCAGAGCCGGCCAAACCCUUGCGGGACAGCAGCACCCUGAAGACAUGGGGUCUCAGGAGGGGGUGUGAAGUCUCCCAGGCCAGACAGAACCUUGAGGCAACUGCACACACCAGCUAUGCUUAACACCUGGGACCAAGAGCGAGCAGAGGAGAUUUCCCAGGUAACAACUGUUAUAAAUUGCAGGUCGGCUAGAGCAGAGAGUGAGCAGGCUGAGAAAAUCACAGCACACCAUGCCUUGGGGGAAACAAGCAACUGCAGGAAGAAGACAAAGCAGAACACUCAGUGAGGGUUCCUGGAAAACAGAAUGGUCAGAGGAGACAACAGCUUUAAUGAAAAGUAAGAACACUUAAAGAGACUCCUUUCAAACAUAAAACGUCAGGCAACUAAAAAGCAUGGUUUUCAAACAACUGCCUACAUUCAUACAAAAGAGGAUGGUCACUUUUGGGAGCUAAUCUGCAGUCUAGAAAACAUAAAUGGAAGAAAUCAAUUCAAAAACAAAAAGAAUAUCUUUUACAAUCCAGUUGCAAAAUAGGAACUACUACAAUUGGUCUAAGCAAAAAGAAAUGUGAUCCAGCAAAAGGAUGCUUACAAGCUUGUCAGCACUGGGGAAGCAGCUGUCGCACUGUCUCCUUAGAACUCACUACCAAGUAACUGUCGCCCAAAAACCUACCCCUGUAGCGGAUGCGACGUCCCCCCGCCGCUGUGCUGCGCAUGUGUGGACACCGCCCCGCACUACCCACCCACCCCC
This is a long non-coding RNA of Heterocephalus glaber (naked mole-rat), 1091 nucleotides long. RefSeq lists it as uncharacterized. Lineage: Eukaryota; Metazoa; Chordata; Mammalia; Rodentia; Bathyergidae. The record is from RefSeq and is a predicted model, not a curated record.